CGGGGAGUAGCUCAGCUUGGUAGAGCGCCUGCUUUGGGAGCAGGAGGUCGCAGGUUCGAAUCCUGUCUCCCCGACCA
Molecule: transfer RNA, 77 nt
Filed under: Pseudomonadales bacterium
Lineage: Bacteria; Pseudomonadati; Pseudomonadota; Gammaproteobacteria; Pseudomonadales
Description: tRNA-Pro
Rfam family: tRNA
About the family: Transfer RNA (tRNA) molecules are approximately 80 nucleotides in length.
Source: RNAcentral